Cebus imitator (Panamanian white-faced capuchin) is the source of this 833-nucleotide long non-coding RNA. RefSeq lists it as uncharacterized. The transcript is spliced from 2 exons. NCBI's taxonomy places the organism in Eukaryota, Metazoa, Chordata, Mammalia, Primates, Cebidae. The record is from RefSeq and is a predicted model, not a curated record.
UUACCUUCUCCCAUUAUCUCUGACUUCAGAAUGUUUGCUUUGGCUCCCACUGUCUCCCCUCUGCUCUCUCCUGCGGUUAGUGUUGGAUACUCAGCAAAAUCUCUCCUUCCUACAAGCCAGGGCAGACCCAUCGGGGCAGGGAUUGUCUUCUUUCUACUUUAAGUAAACGGAAUUGGAGCAACCUUGGCCUUGGAAGACAGAUUUUGUCUUCUAACGACUUUCCUUCAAAACCACAAAUGCAUUUUGUCUCGAUUUGAGGUGGUUCUUGCCUCUCAUCUCAGCAACCUCAGGGUGGGCAUGAAGCAGCCUCUGGCAGCCUGACGAUUUCACAGCGGAUGCUGCGCUUUUGUGAAAAGUCGAUUUCUCUGCAAACCAGCCGAGAGGGCAAAGAGUGCGGUGUUCCUUCCAUUCAACAGAUCUCUAUGAGCCAGGCCUCGAGCUGUGUUAUGGGGAGUCACUGAAUAAGGCAUCUGCUCUCCAGGCCCGCAUGGCCUGAUGGAGGAGAUGAACAAGGAGACUGUCCGCAUGAAAGCUUGUACAAAGUACCACGUGGUCUCAGUGGAGGUGCAACGCCGUCCACGCUGACCUUGCAUGUGCAAAGCAUCAGAGCUGUGCAACCUUGGGCAAGUUAUUGAACCUCCCCCUGCCUCAGUGUCCUCAGCUAUGAAACAGGCAUAAUGAGAGUUUUUCUCUUCUAGGCUCGAUGUGGGGAUUACAUAAGACACACAGGAAGUGCUUAGCAUAGAAUCUGGACAAGGAAAUGCUCACUAUUCUCUCUUUUAAAAACUUCUCCUGUGAUCGGGAUUUUCAGGUUCCCCAGUGGGGAUGUGUGG